This 1018-nucleotide ribosomal RNA is filed under the name uncultured bacterium. RNAcentral's name for it is "bacterial SSU rRNA". It matches the Rfam family "Bacterial small subunit ribosomal RNA", at positions 357 to 1376 of the family's 1533-position model. The record is from RNAcentral.
AGGAAUAUUGGUCAAUGGGCGAGAGCCUGAACCAGCCAAGUAGCGUGCAGGAUGACGGCCCUAUGGGUUGUAAACUGCUUUUAUAAGGGAAUAAAGUUAGUCUCGUGAGACUUUUUGCAUGUACCUUAUGAAUAAGGACCGGCUAAUUCCGUGCCAGCAGCCGCGGUAAUACGGAAGGUCCGGGCGUUAUCCGGAUUUAUUGGGUUUAAAGGGAGCGUAGGCCGGAGAUUAAGCGUGUUGUGAAAUGUAGGCGCUCAACGUCUGCACUGCAGCGCGAACUGGUUUCCUUGAGUACGCACAAAGUGGGCGGAAUUCGUGGUGUAGCGGUGAAAUGCUUAGAUAUCACGAAGAACUCCGAUUGCGAAGGCAGCUCACUGGAGCGCAACUGACGCUGAAGCUCGAAAGUGCGGGUAUCGAACAGGAUUAGAUACCCUGGUAGUCCGCACGGUAAACGAUGGAUGCCCGCUGUUGGUCUGAACAGGUCAGCGGCCAAGCGAAAGCAUUAAGCAUCCCACCUGGGGAGUACGCCGGCAACGGUGAAACUCAAAGGAAUUGACGGGGGCCCGCACAAGCGGAGGAACAUGUGGUUUAAUUCGAUGAUACGCGAGGAACCUUACCCGGGCUUGAAUUGCAGAGGAAGGAUUUGGAGACAAUGACGCCCUUCGGGGUCUCUGUGAAGGUGCUGCAUGGUUGUCGUCAGCUCGUGCCGUGAGGUGUCGGCUUAAGUGCCAUAACGAGCGCAACCCCUCUCCUUAGUUACCAUCAGGUCAAGCUGGGCACUCUGGGGACACUGCCACCGUAAGGUGUGAGGAAGGUGGGGAUGACGUCAAAUCAGCACGGCCCUUACGUCCGGGGCUACACACGUGUUACAAUGGCAGGUACAGAGAGAUGGUGUUCUGCAAAGCGCAUCAAAUCCUUAAAGCCUGUCUCAGUUCGGACUGGGGUCUGCAACCCGACCCCACGAAGCUGGAUUCGCUAGUAAUCGCGCAUCAGCCAUGGCGCGGUGAAUACGUUCCCG